GCUUCUCUUCACCACACACCUUCAUUAAGACACAAAACAAACAAAUAAUAGAAUAUCUCAGUAACAAUGGUGGACGAGGUGAUUCUUCUGGAUUACUGGCCGAGUUUGUUCGGAGUGAGGACGAGGAUUGCUCUAGAGGAGAAAAACAUAAAAUUCGAUUACAUAGAACAAGAUCUGUGUAAUAAAAGUGCCUUGCUCCUCGAGAUGAACCCGGUUCAUAAGAAAAUACCGGUUCUCAUCCACAAUGGCAAACCGGUCUGUGAAUCUCUCAUCCAGGUCGAAUUCAUUGACGAGACUUGGCCAAAGGCGAACCCCCUCCUUCCUUCUGAUCCUUACCAAAGAGCUCAGGCCAGGUUUUGGGGAAAUUUCAUCGACCAAAUGCUGCCCGGUCUAGGGAAAUUGAUGUGGGGAGCGAACGGUGAGGAGCAAGAGGAGGGGAAGAAGGAGUUCGUAGAGAUGCUCAAGACGGUAGAGUCCGAGCUUGGAGACAGGACUUACUUUGGAGGCGAAACAUUUGGUUAUGUGGACAUAGCUCUGAUUGGAUACUACUGCUGGUUCGACGCUUUUGAGAAGUAUGGGAAUUUUAGCAUCGAAGCAGAGUGUCCUAAAAUUAUUGCUUGGGCUAAAAGGUGUGUGAAGAGAGACAGUGUGGCUAAGUCUCUUCCUGAUUCAGAGAAGGUCACUGAGCUCGUUCCUGAGCUAAAGAAGAAAAAACGGGUCGAGUAGAUCGGUCAUUUUUAUGUUUUGUUUUUGCUAUGCUUCAAGCCAUCAUAAUAAUACAAUCAUUCUGCGAGGUGGUUUGGGUAAUAAGAGCAUGUUUCAUCUUUGUUUCAUUACGAUAAAUGCUUGGGGAAAGAAGGCAAGAAGAUUCUGAUUUAUCGAGUGUAGACAUUUAACAUAUUGAAGACCGUUAGUUAUUAA
RNA transcript from Brassica rapa (field mustard), 921 nucleotides. It is a transcript of the gene named glutathione S-transferase U25, with no coding region annotated. The record is from RefSeq and is a predicted model, not a curated record. NCBI's taxonomy places the organism in Eukaryota, Viridiplantae, Streptophyta, Magnoliopsida, Brassicales, Brassicaceae.